CGCGGUUCGCCAGGCAAUCGCUGUAAUUCUUUCACGAAUUAUGGAGGAAAGUCCGAACUCUUUUCCGCUGCGCCGAUAGGCGUUGCGGGAUGGACACAGUGCCGGAUAACGUCCGGGGUCCCGGCUUGCCGGGAUACGGAAAGUGUCACAGAGAAUAUACCGUCCCGAUGGCAACAUCGGGAUAAGGGUGAAAAGGUGCGGUAUGCGAUCAAGCGUACUUAAUGUAAGAGCGCACCGCGGCAUCAGUAAUGGCGCCGGUCCGAAAGGAUCCCGUGCAAACGGGACAUGACAAACCCCACUGAGAGCAAGACCGCGUAAGUUUCGUUUCCCGUCCGCGGGAAAAGAGAUGUCCACUCAAUUCUUCACCGAGACGAAACGGGUAGGUCGCUAGAGCCGUACAGCAAUGUACGGCCCAGAGAAAUGAUUGCCUCCUCCGCGUCAGCGGAGCAGACAAAAUUCGGCUUAUCGGCGCGCCCGGUAC
This 481-nucleotide RNase P RNA is filed under the name Bacteroidota bacterium. Its description in RNAcentral is "Bacteroidetes bacterium (wastewater metagenome) RNase P RNA component class A". It matches the Rfam family "Bacterial RNase P class A". Rfam says of the family: Ribonuclease P (RNase P) is a ubiquitous endoribonuclease, found in archaea, bacteria and eukarya as well as chloroplasts and mitochondria. Its best characterised activity is the generation of mature 5'-ends of tRNAs by cleaving the 5'-leader elements of precursor-tRNAs. The record is from RNAcentral. Lineage: Bacteria; Pseudomonadati; Bacteroidota.